CCUACGGGAGGCAGCAGUGGGGAAUAUUGGGCAAUGGGCGCAAGCCUGACCCAGCAAUGCCGCGUGAAGGAAGAAGGCUUUCGGGUUGUAAACUUCUUUUGCCGGGGAGCAAGGGCGGGGACGUGUCCCGGCCCGGAGAGUACCCGGAGAAAAAGCAUCGGCUAACUCCGUGCCAGCAGCCGCGGUAAUACGGAGGAUGCGAGCGUUAUCCGGAUUUAUUGGGUUUAAAGGGUGCGUAGGCGGGCUUUUAAGUCAGCGGUAAAAAUUCGGGGCUCAACCCCGUCCGGCCGUUGAAACUGGGGGCCUUGAGUGGGCGAGAAGAAGGCGGAAUGCGUGGUGUAGCGGUGAAAUGCAUAGAUAUCACGCAGAACCCCGAUUGCGAAGGCAGCCUUCCGGCGCCCUACUGACGCUGAGGCACGAAAGUGCGGGGAUCGAACAGGAUUAGAUACCCCUGUAGUC
This 459-nucleotide ribosomal RNA is filed under the name uncultured bacterium. RNAcentral describes it as "partial 16S ribosomal RNA". It matches the Rfam family "Bacterial small subunit ribosomal RNA", at positions 338 to 795 of the family's 1533-position model. The record is from RNAcentral.